GUUAUGACAUCGGCAAGUAUUGAAAUCUAACGUGCGAUAGAGGUUUUCGCAAUCUAAAAGUCUCAUUCCUAUUAAAUUCCAUAGUAGUGAGAACUACUUUAUACAGUGCUACGUCAUACCUGCCGGAUUUCUGCAUGCUUGAAUGCCAGUAACUCAGAUACACAUGAAAACAUGAAGUGACCCAGGGAAUUGAUAAAACAUCACUCAGAGAUGCACAAAAAGAAUAUUACAUUCAAAAUAGGUGAACCUUUCCUUGAAGCCUUGUUCACAGUGCAGGCCUUAAUGCUCAGAUCAGUUUUGUUGUUAAAAUAUGUUUUGGAAAACUGACUGUCCAAACAGCAAAUUGGAUGUGUGUGUGUUCAGACAGCAGUCAUUUGCUGACUUGGUUACACUGGUUGCCAUAGUAACGACGGGUGUGUGAGCAGUGGUGUUGAACAUUGAACAUGUAUUUUUGAUCAAUGUAAAGAGAAAGUCAUAACAAUGAAAUCACACUUACACAUUGCCUUCACUAAAAGUACAGAAUACAUCAUAAUAACAAUGAUUUAAUUGACUGGUGUAAAGUAACCCCGAAAGCAGUAAAUGUCACUGCAUUUAUUUCAUUACACAAAAUAUAAAAAAACAGAUGUCUGAUCAACCCUUUUGCAUGUAUUUUUAGUGAGUGGUAAAAUAUUUUAAAUAACUGACCAUCGGUCUACUCAGUGACAGGUGUCUCAAGUGCUACGCCCUGACUCAGGCUGUUAAGUGCGGAGGUCAGUAGGUAGUAGUGAAGACAUUCCCACAGUGCCAAGCAUUGGGACACGUUGUCUCACUUAGCAUACCGUGCACUUUGAGCUCCGACAGCUUCUUUCCAGUGGUGGAGUGUACCCUCUCGUAAAGCACCUACAGGGUGUGGGAGAGGUUUACAGCAGGAGAAGUGAAUAUGAUCGUAUAGUCAAAUCUACCUUUGGAGAGACAAAAGCCUUCAAUGUCAUUUAUUAAUAUGUAGGGUUUAAGUUUUGAAAAGUAAAUAGAUAAUAAAAACCAACCCAGAAAGGACUGAAGGUAAUAAUUAAACAGUGGAGUGACAUCAUCCACCCUCAUGUCGUUGUCUAUCUUGGAGCGAACAAAGUAGAACUUCUUCUUCAUCUUCUGGAUCUCCUUGGCCAGAGUAAUGUCAUUGGCUCUGAAUCGCUCUGAUGAGACUAUGAUGAAGAAAUCAAAGCGAUCGAAUUCAACUUUCUGAAGGUACUCUUCUGGUUUGAAGUUAGUGGUGCCAAUACCAGGGAGAUCCCAAACUUUCAAAUUUGGGUAUUUUGGGUGGGGGUAAGCCUUUGCCUCCAUGGUGGUUUCCACCACACCAGUUAGAGCAGCUCCUUCUUCAUUAUUCUUCAUGCCUAUGAAUGCAUUGACAAAGGUAGAUUUACCGGAUCCUGUCUCUCCUGUGACAGCAAUAUUCAGCUCCACAUUAUUAAUCUCCUUCAAAUAAUCUUGAAUCUUGCCUGCAGCUGUGGUCAAGCUGUUGUUCUUCAAUGCUUCUUCAAGCUCUCUUGGUACUGCUGAAAGUUCAUCAAUAUUCUCCAUGGCAAUCGUAUUUCAAAUAAAUGCAAGUGAAUGAAUGUAUGUAUGUAUGUUUGACAAUGGCGAGACUAGGAACUGGACAUAUAAUGACAGUCUUAGACCACACCCACCCAUAACUGGCAGCAGCAUUGUAAAAUACCUUAUCUUUACGGUCUACUUUGUACGUCAGGGUAUGGGACCAAGGAUAACGACCUGUUCUCUACAUCUGGAAAUGUUUAUGAACAUUCACACAGAUUGAAUACCUACAAGGUAUGUGUCACGCACUGGCCAUAGAGAGGCUUUUAUUCUCUGUUUUGGUUAGGCCAGGAUGUUACUAGGGUGGGCAUUCUAUGUACUUUUUUCUAUGUUUUUGUAUUUCUUUGUUUUUGACCGGGUAUGGUUCUCAAUCAGGGACAGCUGUCUAUCGUUGUCUCUGAUUGGGAACCAUACUAAGGUAGCUCUUGCCCACAUGGGUUUUGUGGGUAGUUGUUUUCUGUUUUGUGUCUUUCUGCACCUGACAGGACUGUUUUUGUUCAUUCUCGUUGUUAUUUUUGUUAUUUCAGUGUUCAGUUAAUAAAAAUCAUGAACACGUAUUACGCUGCACCUUGGUCCUCUCCUUCCAACAGCCUUUACAGUAUGGCUGUAAUUAUGGCCACUUGGGUCAAUUCCAUUUCACUCUGUUCAAGGGACAUUGUAUUCAAACAGCACAAAUUGUGUUAAAAAAUAAGUGAAAUAUGUUCCUCUUCGUUUUACAGGUGAGGUGUUAAAAGUCCAUGUUGAAGUAUACAACUCGAUGCGCACUAUAACCUCAGUUUUACCAAAAAGAAAAGCAGAGCUUCUUUAAGCAUAAUAGGAAAUUCUACACUGAUGACAUUGUAUAAGGCCCAGUGCAAUCAAAGACAUGAUUUUCCUUUGAUAUAACCACAAAAUGAGGUUGGAAAUAAUACCAUUGAAAUUGUGAAUAUGAUAAAGCCCGUUCUGUGUAAGAGCUGUUUGCCUGCCUGGUGACAAAUGCUAUGUAUGUUGUCUCCUCCCCACUCAGACCACUCCCAGAUAGUCCUAGCAAAAAUAUUUUUUAUACGCACUUACAUAUGACUUGACAGAGACUUCAGUGCGGCUUUUGACAUUAUCAAUCGUAGUCUGCUAAAUCUAAUUUUACAUAGGUAUUCAGACACUUUGCCAUGAGACUAGAAAUUGAGCUCAGAGGCAUUCUGUUUCCAUUAAUCAUCCUUGAGAUGAUUCUAUACCUUGAUUUGAGUCCACCUGUGGUAAAUUCAAUUGAUUUGACAUGAUUUGGAAAGGAACACACCAGUCUAUAUAAGGUCCCAUAGUUGACAGUGCAUGUCGAGCAAAAACCAAGCCAUGCUGUCGAAGGAAUUGUCCGUAGAGCUCCAAGAGAGGAUUGUGUUGAGGCACAUUCCUGCAGCAUUAAAGGUCACCAAGAACACAGAGGCCUCCAUCACCACCAAGACACUUCCUAGACUUGGCCACCCGGCCAAACUGCACAAUCCGGGGAGAAGGGCCUUGGUCAACACAAAUCAUAAUAUAUCAUCUCUGUAGGUGUCUCGGCUGGUGGUUUGUCAUGUGAAGGACAUUGAAGUGGAUGUGACCGCUAACCUGCAGGAGAGGCUCACCGGGGUGACGGACCUCCUGUCACGGAUCUCCAUGCUUGUGUCUGAGGACCUGGAGAGGCUGUGUCUACAGCUGUGGGGCAGGACAAGUAUGGUAACCUAACCUCACUGUAUGAAGGAGGAGGCUGUGUGUAAGGAGACGCAAGACCGCUGAACCCUGAACCCUGACCUUUGACCCUCGCACAGCCACCUGCUCCCCUCUCAGGAGAACCUAUGGGCGCCUCUUCCCACUAUAAUCUUUGAACCCCACAUCACUCCCCCGUAUGACCUCAAGGGCAUUCCCCGGAUAGAAAAGUGGAAAUGGUGUAUGGUGUGAAUGAACGGUCUACGCUGGAGCCUUCAACUGGAUGAGUUCAAGCUGAGGGCCUGGCGCAACGUGUGCCGAGAGAUGGUGGCUGGCCAUUCCCAACACUCCCGCAUCGGAAUGCUGCUGGACUACCAGGCUGGAAAACUGACGUACUAUGAAGACGGCCGACGCAGCUGCUGACUUCCACUGUGCCUUCACUCAGGAGCUGUUCCCUGCCUGUUGGAUAGGGGAAGGCGUCAGCGUCACCCUCUGCUCGCCAUGACGACAACACGAAAGGGAAUGACCGGGACCUAACAAUCUUUUAUGGAACUAGUCUACAUGACUAUAGACUUAGACAUUAUACCUGCCCCAUUAUGGUGUCUGCACGGGCAGCACCAUUGAGGCAACCUCCAUUUCAAGUAAAUUGUCUUCUACUACUUCUAUGAGUUGGCAAACAAACUGAAAUGGUUCACACUGCCACCUAGACUGUGUUUGAACAGGUAUAAAGCAAAGGUUGGUGAUUUACUGCCACUUGGGGUUAUGGAAUAUUUUCAUUGGCUGAUACCACCUGUGAUCUGUAUGGAAUUCUGUGAGCUUUCUUUAACCCGUAGGAAGUCCCAUCUCCCCCCCCCCCCCUUUUACCCUCAGAAAAGCCUAAAUUCGGCAGGGCAUGGACUCUUCAGGGAUACUGGCCCAUGUUGUCUCCAAUGCUUUCCACAGCUGUGUCAAGUUGGCUGGAUGUCCUUUGGUUCGUCCAUCCUUGAUACACGGGAAACUGAGCAUGAAAACCCCAGCAACGUUGCAGUUCUUGGCAGAAACCGGUGCGCCGGCCACCUAAUAACAUACCCCGUUCAUAGGCACUUAAAUGAAAUAUCCCUAUUUUUCUCAAACGUCGUGGAAGCUUGGCGUAUUACAAAAACUCUCCCCACCCCCACCCCCUUUCUCAACAAGCCUAGAGUCACUCCUACUUUGCAUGCUCUCACCCUUUCAUUCUAAAACGUGUGGAUUUGUUUAUAUAGGCAUAGCUAGCUAACUAGCUAGCCAGCCAUUUCAUACAGCUACAGCAGCAGUCCACUAGCUAACCACUGGACACAGAAUGUCGAGUGAUGAGGUGAAAUAUAACGUUAAACUCCAAAAAGGAUUUGUAUUGUAAAACCACAUGGCAAGUUAACGUGAUGUGUUCUUUCAGUUCCCUUGCUAGCCUUGUUAACGUUUGCUAAACCAAUGUUAGUUUGACACAAUUGCAGCUACAGCUAGGCUGCAAUAGUUUCAACCUUGUGAAAUUGUUUUGUAAUAGCCAAUGUAUUUAAGAAAGUAUUUCACAUAGCAGGACAUCCAGCUGACGUCAUUCAUUGUAUGCGCAGGUUGCAUUGGACAACGUUGAUGAUGGCAGGGCAAGGGGCAGGGCUAGAGGGAGAGCCAGGGGCAGAGGACGGACAGGCAGAGGCAGGCAGUAGAGAGACAGAAAUGAGGAUGAGGAGAGUCUUUUUGCUCUCCGACAUGAUAGAAUGGCUGCCACACAGGUUUGUAUUAUGUUAAAUGCCAAUAUAUUUAUCAAAAAUAAAGUACUUUCUCUUGAAUAGCUAUUCUAUGAACAUAAUAAUUGGUGGAUUAAUACAUUUUUGUUUUUGGUAUUUAUCGACACAUACUACUUUCAGUAGAAACAUGAUCUAGUUUCAUCAAUUUGCAAUGGAAAGUAGUUGCUUUGAAUGAAUCGUAGUCCUUGACCAUACAUCGGAGAACAACCUUUAUUUGAGUGUGGAGAGAAAUAUCACAUUCUGCCUUACUGAUAAUAGGCUGUGUGCAUCUGUUCAUUCAGAAAUGCAUCAUUAGGGAGCAGGAUUAUGCAGACAACAGAGGUGGUGAGGCUGAUAUUUAAGCGAGAGCCAGGAUUGAUUUUUGAUGUCCUUGAGAUUUACCGACAACGGAAUGGUAAGCCUACAGAGAGAGAGAGAGGAAGUGUUGCGGUCAGGGACCAGCCUUCUGUGUAAGCCAGCUGCCACAUUUUGCCCAGUACUGCCUAGACAACAGAUAUUUAUGUUUGCACAGGCGGUAAAGGGUUGACGUGCUGGCAGUGGCUGACGCAGUAGAGCCUGGAGAUGACUCCAGGGAAUACCGGCAUGCUGCCUACACACAGUUUAGCAAGGCUUGGAGUAAGUUCUCAUUUACCUGCAGUGACCUGGCACAAGUCAUUGGUGUUAAAUGUUGCUUUGAGGGUGACAUUUCAACCGUAGAAUUAUGUUUGUGAUGUGGCAGCUUUGUGCAGGAAACUGAGUUGUCAUCCCCAGUUACUGUGUUUGGAGAGUCAGGGAUACCUUCCCUGGUCCCCAUUCUGAGUACACUGGGUUCUACCCUGGGCGCUAGGAUUCUCAAAGUGUUUGGCAUGAUGACGUACUAGUGUUAUGCCCAAAGAAUGUCCAUUGCCAGACACUUAUCGGCAUGACAUUAGUAUGACAUCGUGUCACUUGCUGUGAACAGAACACAACCUCUCCCUCAGUAUGCAUUCUCCACACACAAACACCUGCCAGGUGCAUCUUCAGGACAUCAACCUUCUUACUGGGCACAUCAUGCCAUAUAAAAUAUUCUAAAGGUUGCUUGUUUAUUUCUCACCCAAAAGUGUCAUACUGCACUUUCUCCCGGCACAAUAAAGUUUAAAUGGGAAAAUGUCCGAUUUUUAUUCAUACAUCUGAAAGUGUGCUUGAAUAAAACAUUAUUUCACUUUUUUUAUUUUGUAUAUUAUUUUUUUCUGAAUAAAAAGU
Molecule: long non-coding RNA, 6212 nt
Organism: Oncorhynchus nerka (sockeye salmon)
Lineage: Eukaryota; Metazoa; Chordata; Actinopteri; Salmoniformes; Salmonidae
Exons: 3
Source: RefSeq, a predicted model, not a curated record